Molecule: ribosomal RNA, 517 nt
Filed under: Metschnikowia pulcherrima
Lineage: Eukaryota; Fungi; Ascomycota; Pichiomycetes; Serinales; Metschnikowiaceae
Description: partial large subunit ribosomal RNA
Rfam family: Eukaryotic large subunit ribosomal RNA
Source: RNAcentral
UGCCUCAGUAACGGCGAGUGAAGCGGCAAAAGCUCAAAUGUUGAAAUCCCCCGGGAAUGUGUAAUUGUUGAAGAAGAAUGUUGGGUGCCGGCCGGCAGGGGUUUAAGUCCACUGGAAAGUGGCGCCACAGAGGGUGACAGCCCCGUGAACCCCUUCAAAGCCCUCAUCCCAGAUCUCCAAGAGUCGAGUUGUUUGGGAAUGCAGCUCUAAGUGGGUGGUAAAUUCCAUCUAAAGCUAAAUACCGGCGAGAGACCGAUAGCGAACAAGUACAGUGAUGGAAAGAUGAAAAGCACUUUGAAAAGAGAGUGAAAAAGUACGUGAAAUUGUUGAAAGGGAAGGGCUUGCAAGCAGACACUUAACUGGGCCAGCAUCGGGGCGGCGGGGAGCAAAACCACCGGGGAAUGUACCUUUCGAGGAUUAUAACCCCGGUCCUUACUCCCUCACCAUCCCGAGGCCUGCAAUCUAAGGAUGCUGGCGUAAUGGUUGCAAGUCGCCCGUCUUGAAACACAGACCAAAU